AAGAACGUUUAUUAGAGACUUCUAAUCUCAAAAAAGUAUAACUACUAUGUUCUUU
RNAcentral lists this transfer RNA (55 nucleotides) under Grandidierella japonica. RNAcentral's name for it is "tRNA-Ser". Lineage: Eukaryota; Metazoa; Arthropoda; Malacostraca; Amphipoda; Corophiidae. The record is from RNAcentral.